AGUCUCUCCUCUGUGUCUUAACAUUUAAAAGUACACCUAUUUAUACCUUAUGUGUCUCCAUUUUAGGUUACUGUAGUUCAAAUAUGAAAAAGUAACACUUCUUUUACUUUAUUCAAUUUAGGACCUCCCUUAAUUUGGCAAACAUACAAGGCCAUAACUAAAGGGUGUAUACGUCAUGGAAAUUUUCCUGACUUAGUUCAAGAUGGCAUCUUAAAGUCU
Pelobates cultripes (western spadefoot toad) is the source of this 219-nucleotide non-coding RNA. The record is from the annotation of a GenBank genome assembly. Lineage: Eukaryota; Metazoa; Chordata; Amphibia; Anura; Pelobatidae.